RNAcentral lists this ribosomal RNA (549 nucleotides) under Alcaligenes faecalis. RNAcentral describes it as "bacterial SSU rRNA". It matches the Rfam family "Bacterial small subunit ribosomal RNA", at positions 361 to 903 of the family's 1533-position model. Lineage: Bacteria; Pseudomonadati; Pseudomonadota; Betaproteobacteria; Burkholderiales; Alcaligenaceae. The record is from RNAcentral.
AUUUUGGACAAUGGGGGAAACCCUGAUCCAGCCAUCCCGCGUGUAUGAUGAAGGCCUUCGGGUUGUAAAGUACUUUUGGCAGAGAAGAAAAGGUAUCUCCUAAUACGAGAUACUGCUGACGGUAUCUGCAGAAUAAGCACCGGCUAACUACGUGCCAGCAGCCGCGGUAAUACGUAGGGUGCAAGCGUUAAUCGGAAUUACUGGGCGUAAAGCGUGUGUAGGCGGUUCGGAAAGAAAGAUGUGAAAUCCCAGGGCUCAACCUUGGAACUGCAUUUUUAACUGCCGAGCUAGAGUAUGUCAGAGGGGGGUAGAAUUCCACGUGUAGCAGUGAAAUGCGUAGAUAUGUGGAGGAAUACCGAUGGCGAAGGCAGCCCCCUGGGAUAAUACUGACGCUCAGACACGAAAGCGUGGGGAGCAAACAGGAUUAGAUACCCUGGUAGUCCACGCCCUAAACGAUGUCAACUAGCUGUUGGGGCCGUUAGGCCUUAGUAGCGCAGCUAACGCGUGAAGUUGACCGCCUGGGGAGUACGGUCGCAAGAUUAAAACUCA